Molecule: long non-coding RNA, 944 nt
Organism: Vidua macroura (Pin-tailed whydah)
Lineage: Eukaryota; Metazoa; Chordata; Aves; Passeriformes; Viduidae
Exons: 3
Source: RefSeq, a predicted model, not a curated record
AGCACAAAAUGUCCCCGGGGCCGGGCCCCUUCCCCUGGGAGGGGCAGCCGAGGCCGUCGCCCCGCCCGUGAGUCGCCCAUCGCCUCCCGGGGCCCCCAGGGGGCUCACCGCCUGCCGCGCCCGCGGUCUCGGAUGUCUUUGCCCUUCGCGACGGAAAAUAAAGCCGUACCGAGGGGCGGGUCACGGCCGCAGACUAUUCACAGACCACAUGAGAACAGAGACUGAAGACUACCUGAAUCUCCUCCUCCAGCAUUUCCUGUCUCUGAACAUACCUGAAAAUUUCUUACUCCUACCUUUUAAUUGUUCAAAAACAAUAUGUGGAGAUUGCUGCGGGGAGACAGAAUUUUCUCAUCUCCAGAUGCAGUAACAAGCAUUCCAAGACACAGUAACAUUAACACCUGUCUCAAGGGACCACAGCAAGAACAACAAAAAUAGAGUGUAUACAGGGUGGAGCAAAACUGCACACGAACAGCUUAGAAUUACCUUGGAUGGUCUCUCAUCAUUUCGUACUAAUUUGAUUUGCUCUAGAUGAGGAGAGAGAAAAAAAAAAGGUUUUACAAAUAUGUCAGUUUCCUUCCUUUGCUCUUCCUCCAAAAUAAACAUGCUGUGAGUUAUCUGUAGCUAACACAUACUUCAGGAAUUCCUCUUUUGUACAAUCCUGGUAUAAAGGGGGACCAUACGAAGAUUAGGUAUGAUGACCAAUUAAACAUGAGCACUCUGUUAUGCAUAAUAACACAGCGAUUCUAAGAAAUGCAAUGGCCAGAUCAAAGCAGUUUCUCUUAUUUGUAACAAACGCUCUGCUAUUGCUGAGUUUUCAAGCUGUCUGCUUAUUAAUGGUGUGUUGAUACUCAGCUAAAGGGCUACAAGAUGUUUGCAUGUUGUGUCUACACAAUGAGCAAGCCUUAAUGUGUAGACACAUGUAUUACUGCCAGCAAUAUUUUCCU